RNAcentral lists this ribosomal RNA (410 nucleotides) under uncultured bacterium. RNAcentral's name for it is "bacterial SSU rRNA". It matches the Rfam family "Bacterial small subunit ribosomal RNA", at positions 30 to 429 of the family's 1533-position model. The record is from RNAcentral.
AGUGAACGCUGGCGGCAGGCCUAACACAUGCAAGUCGAGCGGCAGCGCGUCCGACCACCCUCGGGUGGUCGGAUGGCGGCGAGCGGCGGACGGGUGAGGAAUGCAUCGGAAUCUGCCUCGUUGUGGGGGAUAACGUAGGGAAACUUACGCUAAUACCGCAUACGACCUACGGGUGAAAGUGGGGGACCUUCGGGCCUCACGCGAUGAGAUGAGCCGAUGCCGGAUUAGCUAGUUGGCGGGGUAAAGGCCCACCAAGGCGACGAUCCGUAGCUGGUCUGAGAGGAUGAUCAGCCACACUGGAACUGAGAUACGGUCCAGACUCCUACGGGAGGCAGCAGUGGGGAAUAUUGGACAAUGGGGGCAACCCUGAUCCAGCCAUGCCGCGUGUGUGAGAAGGCCUCGGUUGUAAG